Molecule: transfer RNA, 76 nt
Filed under: Pempheris flavicycla
Lineage: Eukaryota; Metazoa; Chordata; Actinopteri; Acropomatiformes; Pempheridae
Description: tRNA-Val
Rfam family: tRNA
About the family: Transfer RNA (tRNA) molecules are approximately 80 nucleotides in length.
Source: RNAcentral
CAGAGCAUAGCUAAGACAGAAUAGCACCUCCCUUACACUGAGAAGACAUCCGUGCAAUUCGGAUUGCCCUGACUAG